CCUACGGGUGGCAGCAGUGAGGCCUAUUUGUCAAUGGGCGCGAUCCUGAACCAGCCAAGUCGCGUGAGGGAGGACGGCCCUACGGGUUGUAAACCUCUUUUGCCGGGGAGCAACGGGCGCCACGUGUGGCGUCACUGAGAGUACCCGGAUAAAAAGCAUCGGCUAACUCCGUACCAGCAGCCGCGGUAAUACGGAGGAUGCGAGCGUUAUCCGGAUUUAUUGGGUUUAAAGUGUGCGUAGGCGGAUCGUUAAGUCAGUGGUCAAAUUGAGGGGCUCAACCCCUUCCCGCCAUUGAAACUGGCGUUCUUGAGUGGAAGAGAAGUAUGCGGAAUGCGUGGUGUAGCGGUGAAAUGCAUAGAUAUCACGCAGAACCCCGAUUGCGAAGGCAGCAUGCCGGCUUCCGACUGACGCUGAAGCACGAAAGCGUGGGGAUCGAACAGGAUUAGAUACCCGGGUAGUC
This 460-nucleotide ribosomal RNA is filed under the name uncultured bacterium. Its description in RNAcentral is "partial 16S ribosomal RNA". It matches the Rfam family "Bacterial small subunit ribosomal RNA", at positions 338 to 795 of the family's 1533-position model. The record is from RNAcentral.